Felis catus (domestic cat) is the source of this 921-nucleotide long non-coding RNA. RefSeq lists it as uncharacterized. The transcript has 3 exons. NCBI's taxonomy places the organism in Eukaryota, Metazoa, Chordata, Mammalia, Carnivora, Felidae. The record is from RefSeq and is a predicted model, not a curated record.
GUGCUCCUGUGCCCCGCCGAGGCCGCCUCUCAGGGUGCGCAUUGAGCUGAGUCUGUGUCCUCUUAAUUAGAGUGAUAACAGCUAUCACUUAUGGAAGACAUUUUUUCCAUCUAAAGAGCUAAAUGUGUUAUCUCAUUUAUCCUCACCCUCAGCCCCUAGCUUAGGUCCAGAUGGGCAUUGCUGGAAGCAUGCUGCGGUCUCAGGUAACUAUGGAAGGCGGACAGGGGCACGGCCUCAGGAAAGCUGGGACCGGGGACCCCUCUCCGUUUCCCACGUCUGCGGCUGUGCCCUCAGCACGGAACUUUUGUUUUCUGCCUGACCUUCCAGGUUGAGGGAAACAUGACUGCCUACAGCUCUCGAGCCUCCCGUAUCAUAAGUCGUCACCACCAGCGUGGGACUGGCUGUUUGAAAAGUCCCAGGCAGCUGGAAAUAAGGGUCUACCUCCCGGUGGUGGUAUCACCAGCGUGGAUCACGCUCAGCCUGAGAGGAUGCUGCACUCACAGGACAGCUUCCGGACCCCCCAAGAAUUCUCUCCUGCUGCCUGUUGUCCCAGUGGCCACCACCCCAGGGAAGGGUGCAGAGGCUACAAAAGAGAUGUGGAGUUUAGGGAAAUGAUUUCUGAAAGCCUGGAGCUCCUGGGAACUCACCUAAUGCUUUCUGGUCCGAGAUCAAUAGGUUAGGAGAUCUCUAAGGCCUUAAUUAAACUAAGUCCUUGAGAAGAUAACUAAGCAUCCUUUCCUUUCCCCAGCAUCAAGCAAGGGGUGACUCUUGUGUGUGUUCUUGGAGGGGAAAUUUCCUUUUUUUUCUUUUUUUUUUUCCUUUUCUUGAUUUUUUUCCCACGUGGCUCAGAAAAAAAAUAUGUGUAUUAUUAUAUAUUAUAUAAAAUAUAAUGAAAAGUGUCCCUGUAGCUCCUGUCAUCCA